UACGUAGGGUGCGAGCGUUGUCCGGAAUUAUUGGGCGUAAAGAGCUCGUAGGCGGUGUGUCACGUCGUUCGUGAAAACCUGCAGCUUAACUGUGGGCGUGCGGUCGAUACGGGCAUCACUGGAGUUCGGCAGGGGAGACUGGAAUUCCUGGUGUAGCGGUGAAAUGCGUAGAGAUCAUGAGGAAGACCAGUGGCGAAGGCGGGUCUCUGGACAGUUCCUGACACUGAGACACGAAGGCCAGGGGAGCAAACGGG
This 254-nucleotide ribosomal RNA is filed under the name uncultured bacterium. Its description in RNAcentral is "partial 16S ribosomal RNA". It matches the Rfam family "Bacterial small subunit ribosomal RNA", at positions 524 to 776 of the family's 1533-position model. The record is from RNAcentral.